GGUAGUGUUAUCCUUCAUUGAACACUGGCCAUUCCUAGCUGUCCCCAGGCUGACUGCAGGACACCCAGACAGACCUUCAAGAAGAGGGGACACUGGUUUUGUGCCUGAGGACAGGAGGACCAGAACCACUGCGGAAGAUUCUCAGCUUUGGCAGUUGAUACGAAGUAUCCAAGAGCAAGAGGUUGCUGCUUCAGUUCUUCAGGGGCUUCUCUGGAGAGGAGACGUUCCCCUUGGUUCUGGAAGAAGAGUUGCAAACACAGUUCAGUUCCCCAGGCUCAUAUUCCAGAACCACUUUGGAUUCCCACACAGCAAUGUUAGCCUCCUACACAGACUCCAGUCCAGGUAGGACUGGAUGCUGCAGAGUAACUCAGAGGUAUGGGCUGGGCUGGUAGCUUGCAGAAAAAUGCUACACUUGCCCUUCCUUGCUGUGGACAUUUGGGCAGAAGGUACAAGCUGGGUUUGGAUUUGUGCUGCCAAGUGUGGGGAAAAGGAAACAGCUGCCCUGCUUUUCAGUUUCUAUCACCUAUCAGUUUAUCUAAAUACUGGGGCUUUGCAGCACUUGUGACUCAUGUCCUUCCACUUGGACCAAAGAGUGACUGGGAGAGGAGAGAGUUAAACAAGGAGAAGCUGGCUAUAAAGUUAAUUUCACCAGACUUGGAGUCACUGCCUGCCAGCACCUAUGUCUGUGAUUUGAUUUCUGUAGAGUAAAACCUAGAUGAGUCAUCCACACCUGAGGCUGUUAGACUUCUUGGGGUGAGCUUGCUCACCUCCUCCUGGGUGUCUGUGCCCUCAGAUCCCUGCCUGCCAUAAGCCCACAACCAAACCUACCUCAGGUACUAGAAAGGGAGCUGCCACCUCAGUCUAGAGUACCUUCCUAGUUUGAAGGCUUGCUUUGGAAACACCCUUUAUUAUUCUGCUUUUACUUUGAAUUCAGAGAUGCCUGUAAAGCAUUUUAGCUUGCACCUUACCCCAGCAGA
Pogoniulus pusillus (Red-fronted tinkerbird) is the source of this 977-nucleotide long non-coding RNA. RefSeq lists it as uncharacterized. Lineage: Eukaryota; Metazoa; Chordata; Aves; Piciformes; Lybiidae. The transcript is spliced from 3 exons. The record is from RefSeq and is a predicted model, not a curated record.